Molecule: long non-coding RNA, 3325 nt
Organism: Brienomyrus brachyistius
Lineage: Eukaryota; Metazoa; Chordata; Actinopteri; Osteoglossiformes; Mormyridae
Exons: 2
Source: RefSeq, a predicted model, not a curated record
AACAGAGCUUUCGUGCAAAAGCAGGUAACAGAGAGAAGAGGAUGAGGUGUAACAUGGAUUGUGAGGAAAAUCACCUAAGGAAGAAUCAAAUUUGAGUUUGAUUUGUUUUUUUUUUUUACCUAAUUGAGUAGGUUUGAAAUUCAGCAACAAAAAGAAAUUAAAUGGGAAAAAUAAUAAUUAAAAAAAUUAUAAUAAAAAAAUCGAAGAGAAGAAAACAAACAAACAAACUUCGUUCUGCGUCGCCGGCUUCCCCCAGCCUGCCAAAGGGUUUUGAAUUAGCUAUGUGUCAGUGAUUACGCAGGUCGAGGUCGUUUAUCUCCUUUAACAGGUCAUCGGGUCAUUUUGCUCGCAAAGUGAAAAACGCACUGCACAUUUUUAAAAAAUUAUUUUUUACUGGUCGACCCUUUGCCUCUCCGCGAGUUCCAGCAGUUUAUGUGACUUUCCGUGCAGCUUCACCGACACACGACACUGGCCGGCUGCCGGCUGCUGCAUUGCCUGCAUUUUUAUUAUUUUUUUUUUUCCUGGAGUGCACCAUUUUCCAUUUCCUUUAUUUCCUCUGGAACUUCCCUCCCUAAAGGUGAAGAAGCUGCAAGUCUGCAUCUCCCCAGCACCUACCCCCCCCCCCCUGCACCCCCUCACUCACACACACACGCAGGCACACACACACACACAGGCGCACACACACACGCUCGCGCGAGCGGCUCCUCGCUCACCCCCGCCGUCAUCUGGAGGAGAGCUGAUUCAGCGAAUCGAACAUGCAGCACGGGCACCAUGGCUGCUGCAGCUGGAGCACGCUCUAGGUCACCGCUGCUCCCUCUGAAGCAGCAAGGAGGAGACGAGGAGAGCCGCGCGUGGAUGGUAGCGGGAACAGGGAGGAGGCUGCAAAAACCCUCGAACGGUGUGCCGGGAGACAGGCGCAGAGAGGAGGAGGAGAGAGACCGAGGAGGAAGGAGGUGAGCACGUCCCGAGAGCGGCAUACGUCCGUUUGUGUGGCACAGGCGGCAGAAUCAAGUUUGGAGACGACGGGGAGCCCUAAAGUGAGAGCGAGGUCAAGGAGACAAUGGCGGAAAGGGAAGAGAUUUUGCCCUAUUUUUACUAGCCAGUAACCUUUACUGAAGAGUACAAGGACAAGCGAAUCAUCCUGCUUUAUAUCCCAGCUUGUUCUGCUGCCCUGCACCCAGUCAGUUCUCUGCUCCUUGAAGUCCGGGCCGGGAUCUCUGGCAGCAUCAGCGGCGGUCAGCAUGGUAUGGACUGUGUCACGUUUAAAAUAUUCUAGCCGGGCUAGUUGCUUUGGUCAGGAGGGUGGCUUUGGAGCUAAAAGGCGCUGCUUUUAUCGUUUGGCUUGCAAAGGUGCUGUAGUACGCAUCGAGCCACCUGCUCGGCUUUUAAUAGUGAGAGAGAAAAGGCAGCGAUGCUGGCCUUGCAGCUAACUCUGCAGCAAAGCUCCUCAUUCAUUUUUAUCGCUCUCCUAAUGCCACUCACCGGACCACGGCAACGUGUGCGUGAACUGUACACCUUGUCUUCCUGGAGCACAUACUUCUUUAUGUACCCAUAUGGACAUAUGAUAGCUAUGGAAUGUAAAGAAGUAUGUAUUUCUGGUCAGGCAUCAAGCAUCACGAAGUAGAGGUCAGCAUACCUUUGGCUGAUUAACACGUCGUUGCCGCUGUCAUUCUGUUGACUUUCCAGUUCUGUGUGGAUUGCAUGUUUUAAGAAGGCUGUUUGCUCGUGGACCGUCUCCCCGUGUUUGGAACGGCUCGGAGUUUCUUGCGACUAAUUUUACUGCGUGGUUGUUGUAGCUUAGCGCUGGAUGGCAUAUGAGGUCCCUCCGGGAGCCGUUCGGAACGGCAAGUGUUAUGGGAUGUGCGACAGUGAAUGGGUCCGCUCUUAUCUGGGGUGUGGAAAAAGUUUGCGAGGUCCCCAAAUCCCAGCAACAACCCGGACUGUUACUGAUGAGAGCAUGACGACAUUGACAACAGUGGUGCAGUUGCAGUACUACUUUGUCAAGGCAUGACUUUAUCAAUUACACUGGAGUACAGCUCUGGACAGGCACUGCUGCCACCAUUGAUGGAUUCUGCUGCAUUACCGUUUACACCUGAAUCUGAGCCAGCUGCAAAUUAGCGGUUAAUUUUGCAGAAAUAUAAUCAUGCCAAAGGUGUUUUUUGGCGAUUAAUGCUAUAAUCCUUUUCAAGGGAUCAACCACUUUGAGUAAAAAACAAAGAGCCAACCCAGGAAGUGUGGGGGAGGUCUUGAGAAUAGACCCAGAGGGGUGUCAAUUUGACACGUAGGGCUGGAUUGAAUGUCUGCUUGUUGCUGAGACAAGGGUUUGAGGGUGGCCAUUUGCUCCUGCUAUUUAAAGAUCUGGCAUCUCCACCGUUCUAGAUCAUAUGGCUUGUCAGUUAAAAUCCACUUCCCCUCACCCUCCCUCUCUCCCGUCCUCUGUUUCUUUCUCUCAAACCCCCCUUCCACCCCCACUCCCGCCCCGAAUUCCCCCCCCCCCCAUUGUUCAUAUUUGCUAUGCUUGCCAAAUGCUUUUCUGGACUGGAAGGCGGUCAGAUUAGGGCAUGGAAACCUGACAAUGCGGAGCUUUCUGGAUGAGGCCUAGUCGUCAGCUGACGACUUCAAAGCAUAAAAGACGGGCUGGUGAUGAAUGGACGUCAGUCCCGCUCCCCUUCACCUCUCCUUUAUGUCCUGCUUUCGUUCUCUCUCUUUUUCCUCCCCCACCCUUGUUCUCAAUUCCGGUAGCUGUCUCUUCAUUUUCCACCAUCAGUUUACAUUUUGCACAGAACGUAGCAAUUAGCUUAGCGGGAACGUAAAGGCAAAAUGCCCCCAAAACGGACGUGGUGUGACCUUGCGGGGGGCGUCCUGCGUGCGCGUGUCACAGCCAGGGUGACGCCAUGGUUUCCCGGCUCGCUAUCUGAUCCACUCCCACGACGGACCCCUCGCUUUCAUGAUGCCGUGUGUCGUGUUGGUCUUGCUGCAUUUCGGUGUCGACCUGUGGUGUCGUCUGCCAGAUAUACGCCACCAUAUGCUGCGUUAAAAGUGUUGCAAGUAAAAACUAUACUGCACCCAGUCCUAUGCGAGUCAGAACGUGAAUGAAGCCAAAAUUACCUAAUAAGUCAAAUCUGUACAUAAAAUAAUGAUAAAAAUAAUAAUUAUUAUUAUUGCUACUUUUAAUAAUACUCAUUAUUGUUGUUAUUCUUGCUUUUAAUAAACUUCCACCUUGUCCAAUGCAAGUCAAAAUGUAAAUGAAGCCAAAAUGUUCUUAAUAUGUGAAAUCAGCCCAUAAAACAGUUCAUAAUAAAAAUAGUAAUAAUACUAAUAUUAA